GUGGUGGGGAAACUACAACAGGCUCGCCCGAAAUGCAUUAGCGCCUCAGGACACAUUCGCUACUGCUCUACAAAAGGAAGAGCAGCGAAGCGUAUGGGGGGGAAAACCACCACCGGUUAUUCCAAACCUCGCCUGACUGUUUUUGCGCGCAUGGCAUGAUACGUCAUUUGCUGUGUUGCGUAGGUUGGUGCGUGGGACUGUGUGAGUGCCUCUAGAGCUUUGAGAAGUGUGUUUCGUGUGCUACGAACUGAAAAAGUACAUUCCUUUUUUUCAAUUCUGGUCUCAAAUCAGGUAGGAUCACCCGCUGAACUUAAGCAUAUCAAUAAGCGGAGGAGAAGAAACUAACAAGGAUUCCCCUAGUAACGGCGAGCGAAGCGGGAAGAGCUCAAAUUUGAAAGCUGGCACCUUCGGUGUCCGCUUGGUAAUCUCCA
This 431-nucleotide ribosomal RNA is filed under the name Malassezia pachydermatis. RNAcentral describes it as "eukaryotic LSU rRNA". The stretch from base 278 to 431 matches the Rfam family "Eukaryotic large subunit ribosomal RNA", at positions 1 to 154 of the family's 3401-position model. Lineage: Eukaryota; Fungi; Basidiomycota; Malasseziomycetes; Malasseziales; Malasseziaceae. The record is from RNAcentral.